RNAcentral lists this ribosomal RNA (512 nucleotides) under uncultured bacterium. RNAcentral describes it as "bacterial SSU rRNA". It matches the Rfam family "Bacterial small subunit ribosomal RNA", at positions 371 to 883 of the family's 1533-position model. The record is from RNAcentral.
AUGGACGCAAGUCUGAACCAGCCAUGCCGCGUGGAGGAUGAAGGUCCUCUGGAUUGUAAACUUCUUUUAUUUGGGAAGAAACCCACGAUUUCUAUUGUGGUUGACGGUACCAGAUGAAUAAGCACCGGCUAACUCCGUGCCAGCAGCCGCGGUAAUACGGAGGGUGCAAGCGUUAUCCGGAUUCACUGGGUUUAAAGGGUGCGUAGGCGGGCAGGUAAGUCAGUGGUGAAAUCUCCGGGCUUAACCCGGAAACUGCCGUUGAUACUAUUUGUCUUGAAUGUCGUGGAGGUGAGCGGAAUAUGUCAUGUAGCGGUGAAAUGCUUAGAUAUGACAUAGAACACCCAUUGCGAAGGCAGCUCACUACACGAUGAUUGACGCUGAGGCACGAAAGCGUGGGGAUCAAACAGGAUUAGAUACCCUGGUAGUCCACGCCCUAAACGAUGAUUACUCGACAUCAGCGAUAAACUGUUGGUGUCUGAGCGAAAGCAUUAAGUAAUCCACCUGGGAAGUAC